Molecule: ribosomal RNA, 253 nt
Filed under: uncultured bacterium
Lineage: Bacteria
Description: partial 16S ribosomal RNA
Rfam family: Bacterial small subunit ribosomal RNA
Source: RNAcentral
UACGAAGGGUGCAAGCGUUACUCGGAAUUACUGGGCGUAAAGGGUGCGUAGGCGGUUUCUUAAGUCCGUUGUGAAAGCCCUGGGCUUAACCUGGGAAUGGCAGGGGAUACUGGGAAGCUGGAGUGCGGUAGAGGAGGGUGGAAUUCCCGGUGUAGCGGUGAAAUGCGUAGAGAUCGGGAGGAACAUCAGUGGCGAAGGCGGCCCUCUGGACCAGCACUGACGCUGAAGCACGAAAGCGUGGGGAGCAAACAGG